Molecule: ribosomal RNA, 484 nt
Filed under: uncultured bacterium
Lineage: Bacteria
Description: partial 16S ribosomal RNA
Rfam family: Bacterial small subunit ribosomal RNA
Source: RNAcentral
AUUGAACGCUGGCGGCAGGCCUAACACAUGCAAGUCGAGCGGAUGAAGGGAGCUUGCUCCUUGAUUCAGCGGCGGACGGGUGAGUAAUUCCUAGGAAUCUGCCUGGUAGUUGGGGAUAACGUCCGGAAACGGGCGCUAAUACCGCAUACGUCAUGAGGUAGAAAGUGGGGGAUCUUCGUACCUCACGCUAUCAGAUGAGCCUAGGUCGGAUUAGCUAGUUGGUUGGGUAAAGGCCUACCAAGGCGACGAUCCGUAACUGGUCUGAGAGGAUGAUCAGUCACAAUGGAACGGGGACCCGGUCCAGCUCCCUCCGGGAGGAACAAUUGGGGAAUUUUGGCAAAGGAGGGAAAGCUUGCUCCAGCCCUGCCGCGUGGGUGAAAAAGGUCUUCGGACUUAAAAGCCCUUUAAGUUGGGAGGACGGUCAGUAAGUUAAUACCUUGCUGUUUUGACGUUACCAACAGAAUAAGCACCGGCUAACUUCGUG